RNAcentral lists this ribosomal RNA (468 nucleotides) under uncultured bacterium. RNAcentral's name for it is "partial 16S ribosomal RNA". It matches the Rfam family "Bacterial small subunit ribosomal RNA", at positions 28 to 507 of the family's 1533-position model. The record is from RNAcentral.
GACGAACGCUGGCGGCGUGCUUAACACAUGCAAGUCGAACGGAAAGGCCCUGCUCUUGUUGGUUUCUCGAGUGGCGAACGGGUGAGUAACACGUGAGUAACCUGCCCUUGUCUUUGGGAUAACUUCAGGAAACUCGGGCUAAUAUCGGAUAUGAUCUCCUGCUGCAUGUUGGUCGUUGGAAAGUUUCGGCGGUUGGGGAUCGACUCGCGGCUUAUCCGCUUGUUGGUGUGGUAGUUGCUUACCAAGGCUUUGACGGGUAGCCGGCCUGAGAGGGGGACCGGGGACAAGAGGACUGAGAGAGGGAGCAGAAGCGAAUGGGAGGCAGCAGGGGAGAGUAUGACGCAGUAAGCGGAAGCCUGAGACAAAAACGCCGGGUGCGGGAAGACGGCCUUCGGGGUAAAAACAGCUGUGGAAUGAGACGAAGAGGGAGUGACGGUAAUGAAUAAAGAAGCAACGGCUAACUACGUG